Non-coding RNA from Cricetulus griseus (Chinese hamster), 6673 nucleotides. The record is from RefSeq and is a predicted model, not a curated record. Lineage: Eukaryota; Metazoa; Chordata; Mammalia; Rodentia; Cricetidae.
CUCACCGGCUCCGCCAGGCGGGUCCCUGAGGAGCCGGGUUCCCAAGGCUUCGCACGCUGGGCCCAGGCCUGUCUAGCUGCCGGGACGCGUUGCUGUGGCGAUGGCCUUGGGGACCCGGGCAGUCAGGUGCAGCACCUGUACUGGCUGAUGAUCUCAAACUGACACCAGACUACGGAAAUAACGUGGCCUGAAGCGCAUUAAGUUUUAGAACGGCUGGGCUCUUGAGCAGUAACUUCAAAAUAGGUUCUAUUAGAACCCUUUUAACUUUUAGCACUCCUCUGGUUGUUAGCCAGCUCCUGGGACGCUGUCAAGUAUAACCUUUACUGUGUUCGUUUUAGAGGUCAAACAAGAAAAUCACAGGAAGGGGCAUGUAAAGAUACACUCUGCUGAGACAAUGAGAGUUAUCUAUACUAGAUUGUGAAUCACUUUCCUGAAUUUGAUGGUAAGCAUGUAGACUCGUGCUCUGGAAGAAUACUGGUGAGGUUAAUGUUUUGUACUUUGUUAUGUAGGAGUUCAAACUUUGGAAGAAAUCUUAGAAUAUGUUUGGCGUGCUAGUAAUUUUUACCUGCUGCUACAGAAUACAGAUUUUAAGAUGUUAAAAAGGUAUGCAAAGUGACUGAGAUAUGUGGCUGACACAGACGAGCAGAUUUUGAUUCAGCUUGCCCUUCAGGCAUCCCCCAAGUCCUUAUGACAGGUUAUAGAAGCAAAAUCUCAUAUGAGGUUUCCUCUGAAGUGUCUGGGGUAACCGGAGACUUGGACUGUAUGGUUCAUUUGUGCUGAUUUGGCAAUUGUAAACGAAGCGAGUAAUAAUUAACCUGUGUAUUGUCUUCAGCAUCCCUUCUGCAUGCUUCAGAGAUCGGUUUAAUCCUAGACACUGUGUGGGAUUGCUUUAAAACAAACAAAACCAAAAUACUCUAUUGGCAUCAUUUUAAAACCAAAAUAUUGCAUUGGCAUCAUUUUAUCAGUGUAAACAAAUAAGGUUAUUACUCUAUACAAGUUGCUUGGAGGAGUUCUUUGCUUAAAAUUUUAUAUGUGUUUAACAGUUCUGAAAUUAGAGGGUGAGUCUGGUUUUAGUGACCUUUCUUCCUCAUUCUUCUAAGAGUGAAGUGCUACUCUAGAGACACGGCAUGCCACAUUCAGCUGUCUGAAAUUCUUUGCAAUUAAAUUUUCUAGAUAUUAAGAUAGUCUUCAAGAAUCUAUAACUUUUGAAAAGGAAACUUUUAAGAGACACAUUCGAUAAACUCAGAGAUUGGAAAAGAUCAGCAAGUAUUAAUGUACUUUUCUUCCCCUUUCCAGUAAACUACUGGAUGCUUUUAGCUAAUGGAUCAUAAACUGCAAGCCAAAGUUCUUGGUCAUUAUUUUGAAUAAUGACAAUGUAAUUUCCAAUGUGACUGCUAUUGUUACAAAUGUGUCUGGCACAAUUAAAGACUGCAGUGGUUUAAAUAGCUUUUUCAUUUAUCCAUUUGUGUAUGUGUAUGUGUGUGCUUGAGCACAGUUACACACAUACACACACACACACACACACACACACACACACACACACACACACACACACACACACACGCAGUGUCACUGGGGUUGAGGUAGAAGCCAGAGGACAACUUGCAGAAAAUCACUCUACCAUGGUAGUUCCUGGCUGUUAGACAAGCAUCAUCUCUUGCUGAGUCAUCUCCCCAGCCCAAGAUCACAGUGUUUUGAUACCACUCUACCACUCUAAUUUAAAAAAUAUUUGAUUUUAUGUAUAUGUGUGCUCAAGCCUGAGAGAGAGAGAGAGAGAGAGAGAGAGAGAGAGAGAGAGAGCCAUUUCCAUGCAGGAACCUUGGGAGAUCAGAAAAGUCUCCAUCAGAUUUCCAUGGGACUGAAAUUAACAGAGUGAUAUGAGACACCAUGUCAGUGCUUAGAACCAAACCCUGGUUCUCUGCAAGAGCAGUAAGUGAACCUCUACAUCUCUCCAGUCUCCCAAGACAUCUACUUUUAUGGUCACUGUUUUCUAUUUGCAUUGCCUGGAGACAUUUUUGUUGUCAAAAUAGGGAGUUGAGUGCUAUUAGUUUCUGGAAGGAUACUACAUGGUACAAAACACAACAACAGGAAAUUAACCAGCCCCAAAUGUUGGGCAAUUAUAAAUGCCUACAGAAUUCUCUCAUGUCGUGUGGUUUUUAAGCAUGAAAGCUUGUUUUUUAUACUAUUUAUGGAGAAAAUGUACAUUUAAAUUUAUGCUAUUUUAUGGACACAAUGUUCAAAACAUGAAGUCAAUUUGGAAGAAUGUCUUCUAUUAGUGAACAACUGACUUACAAUAUAAUUACACCAAUUUGGGAUAAUAGAAAUAUUUUACUGAAUGUAUUUCUUAAUGAAAUUAAGAAAAUGCUUCCUUACCUAAUAAUCAGAAUCAGUUCCUCAUAUUUAUUCUAUUAAAUAUUCUGGCAUUUAUGUCCUGGGACAGUGUAUCCAUCAUGAUUCAAUAUAGGUAAAGGAUAUCCCUGUUGUAAAGACUAUAAAGGCAAUUUGUGUGUACCACGGUACCCAGAGCAGUAGCUGAUGCAAGUGAUUUUCCUGUUAGUGGUUGUUAAAUGAACAGCUAAGUAAACAACUGAAGGAAUAAAGGAUAAAAGUAAUGUAAUAAUCCAGGCUACAAAUGGCAUUAGCAGUGAAGCUAACUGAGAUACAUAUCCAGAAUGUGCCAGUACUAUGAAUGUGACAGACAAACAUCAGAGAUGGUGUCUCCUAGUAAUAGCAGAAGCUACUCCCAUAAAAUCUCAUCAGCAUGAUUGUCGGAACAGAGCUGAACAAGGACACCACCAAUGGACAUGCCAGAGUGGGUGGGGAAAGCCCAUGAGCCUCAACCCUACAAUAUGGGCAACUCAGAAAAGCUGGGAGCAGGAGAGGUGGUCUUCCUUAGGAAAAAAAAGAGCACACCAACUGUACCAGUACCAAAUGGUCAGCCCUGAAAACAUACAAGUAGCAUGAUAUGGACUGAACCUGUUAUAUUUAGGAAUAUAGGCAUAGGCAUGUAUGCAUGCAAUGACAAUUGGUGGAAAAAGGGUCUUGAAUGUGAAUGAGAGUAGGGAGGGCUAGGUAGGAGGAAAAGGAGGAAUAGAGGAAAUAUAUUAAACACAAAAAGAUAAGCAAUUGGGAGAGAGGGCCUGGCACCUUGCCUGCACUAAACAGUAGAGCUGGCCCUGACAGUAUGAGUGAGGGGUCCUGGCUCUGAGAGCCCGAGAGCAGGAGCACUAGCACCUGCUACUUGCUGUAGGCUUCAUUGAAUGAGCUAGCUGAGGCAGUGCUGGAGAGGUCAUAUGUGUAGUAAAGAUAUGGGAAAGCUAGAGUGAGCUAACCAACCCAGCUACCACCCAGGCCCAGAACCAUGCCUAUGAGUUGGCCCACCCCAACAUCCACCAAAUCUACGCAUUGUUGGACCAUGUAAGGGGGAGGAACCUACAGGUCCAAAACAGAGCCCAUUAUCAGUGUAGCAGAAACCAGAGGCCUCAAGCCUGCCCAAUGAUCGGUGGCAAUGAACAUUUGGAAGUAAAGAUGAAUAGACUAAAGUGUAAACUCUGUGUCUCAACUGGCCACAUUAUAGCUUCCACAAUAAGAUUUUUCCUUUCUUUGUUUGUUUUUGUUUUGUUUGUUUUAUUUGGUUUUGUUUAGAGGAAGAGGUUGCAAGGACAGAGGAAGCACUGGGAGGGACAGGGAGAUAAGUGGGAUCAGAAUUCCUGAUGUGAAAUCCACAGGGGAAAAAAAAGUAAAAUAAAAAAUAAAAGUAAAUAAAAAAAAGAAGGUGAAAGACGUUGUGGUUCUAAAUUUGUAAAAUCCAUUUUUAAAAACUCAGCUAUCCUGAAACAGCAACCAUUGCUCCCAACACUGUGGUAAGAAUAUCUUUGCAGCAGGAGAGAGGCCCCAUGGAUGAAAGUAACGCACUUCCUGCCUGGCAGAAGACGGGUUGGACACCGGCACCCGUGUUAGCUCGCAACUGCCUGACUCUAGCUCUAAUAUAUCCCACACUCUUUGCUGGCCUCUGCAGGCAUCUCCACCUGUACAUACUCACAUAUAAACCCACAUACGCACAUACACAUCAUUUUCUAAAGAAUAAAUCUUCUUACUGAACUGCGGACUAACUGUUGAAAGUAAGGUAUCCACUUCCAGUAUGGCCUAUAAGAUGUCCUUUGUGGUUUCCCUAGUUUUUGGAUAGGCUACAUGCAAAGGACCUCAAAAUAUUGUAAAGAUACUGUAAAGGAUGGCUUGAACUCAUAUAUUUUUGCAACACCAGGGUAUCUAGUUGGUAACUUGUAUUUCUACAUCUAGAAGACACCACGGUCUUUUCACAAAAAAGCAAAAAAUGAAAAAUGGUGUUUUUAAAGGCUGUUUCCUGGCAUCAGCUCAGAAGCCACAUAUCAGAAACCUUUAAGCUUCAGAUGAAAGGCAGUGAUGUCUCUUGGGAAGUGCAAAACAGAAGCAGUUUUCAGUCACCUCUUGGCCCCAUGAACUAGUGGCCUCCAUGUGCUUCAGAAUCAAUUCUUUCCAACUUUUAAUAUUUUGGGGGUCACUCAAUCAUUUAAUCACAUUCCAAUUAUGUCCCUUUGGCAUUCAUUCUUUUCCUAUUCUCUAUCUCUUGCUACAAGGUUUCUAGUUCUACACAGAACCCUACUGGUCUCUGCCUGCUUAUAUUUUAAUUAUAAGCUUAUUGCUACCUCCUGGUAGUAUUUCUACCAUUUUUGUUACUAAAUGUAUCUCACUUGCAACUCUCUAGAAACCAACAUUCAAAUCAUUUCUUUAGCCCAAAUGACGUUAUAAUUUUCUUUCUUGCAAAAAUAGAAGGGAUGUGUUUGUUAUUGUUUCCCUCUUCUUAAAGACCUAAAGAAUUUGUGUUAGUGGCAUUCAUGGUUUUUUUCUUUUUCCUGAUUGGUGAUAGUAACUAUUGAUAACCAAACUAUAUCAAUGUAUUACAAUGACACUGAGCAGUAAAAUAACACCACAUUUUACAUAUCAAAGUUCAAUUGACCUGCUCUAAAAGUCUUAGUCUUUACCAAAUCACUGUUGACAAAAUGAUGGAUGCUGUACUCCUCUGAGAGCUUCCUUAUGGGAUUAUUUAAAAUUCUCCCUCCCCAUCUAUUUGGAGUGUCUGUACUGCCUUGGCCCAAAUCAAAUAUUGCUUCAGGCAUUUGGACAAUGUAAUGACCUACCUUGUCUUUUAGGCUUUGGCUCUGGCAAAGUUUGAAGGGACCUUGUUAAAUGUUGUCAACGCCCAUUAUUAUAAACCUGGCUCAUAUUCUCCAGGGAUAAUUGCCGGUUUGAUUCUGUAUCUAGGAUCGCCCAAUCAUUCCCUUAAAGGGGAAGGAAAAAAUAUGUUUUUCUGGGGAAAGCAUACUUUUUUUUCACUUAAGGAUUAUGCAACCUAUGUCACAUUGCAUGUCUGCUUCUCUUUAACUUCUUUUCAAAGAUGGGAGACACAGCCCCUUAUCCUGUGGAGAAGAGCUCAUCUUCCUUAAAAUGUUAUGGCUUUUUGUAUAUGCACCGUCUUACUUUCUCAUGGAUGUCUUAAGGUACCACACCACUGUAGGGGAAGCUGUAGCCACACCUGCUUAGGGGCUGGCUACAGGUCUGCCUGACCACGCAUGCGAGGGCGUGGUCAGGGUGAUGUAGAGUAAGAGACAGUCAGGGGCCAUUUUUGGUUUCAGUUUCAUUUUCGGCUUGCUGUACAGACUGCUGCCCGCUGGCUGGCUAGGUCGCUCUUUAAAACAUGUCUUAAACAGGUUUUUGCUUCUGGCAAAUGUAUCUGAACAUCAGUUGCUUACUACAGCCUGCUCCUAAAGACUUCAAGCCUUGGACUUGCUGUGGAUGUGAACCAGUCUAGCUGAUGUGGACACCUCCUGUCUCUUCAACAGUCUGACAACCAGCUGCUUCUGAUGGAUUCCCCAUUGCCUGAAUUCCCUUUUUGCUUUUAACGAGCACUUCAGCCUUCUUAGGUCCCUAACAAUGCCCCAGAGUCAGCAGGAAGUAAAAUGGGAAAGCAUAUGUUGCCCCUUUUCCCUGAUUGAGAUGCUAAGUCAAAAAGGAAACUCCCUUAUAUAGGGGACAAUAUGACAACAGAAGCAAAUGUCAUUCCCUCAGAAAAAUCUGUCAGCUAAUGGCAGGACCUGUUAACACCCCUUUGAGCCCCUAACAGGCAGGACUCAAUCCUGAGUCCUGCCACUGGUACUUUGAGAAGGGGGAAUGAAGGGACUAUACCGCACCACCACGUUUUAGCAGCCAUGACAGGCUAACAGGUGCUUGCCUGACCUUGCUGGACAUGUCAUGGUCACCAGGAGGUCAGAUGCCCACCUUGUUGCAAGGAACCAAUCAAAAGUUAGCUGACAGAGCUGUGCUUUACAGCUCGGCUCUGGGUGUGUUUUACAGACAAGUGCACAACAGCGAUGUGAAAAGCAUAGCAACCGCCCAAGGAGGGCCUAUGGGUCAUAACAACCAGUUGACCAAUCAACACCGGGUAGGCCAUCCAAGCCUGGAAGUACACGAAUCCUGAGACAACACUCCCCUUAGGCUGCCCUAUAAGAUCCCUUCCUCGUGGUUUCUCAGGAUCGUUCUCCAACCAUCUGCCAUAGUGGAGAGAUGAAGGGCCCGAAUUAAUGGAGUUAGUUUGUUAAACAACAGCAAUAAAAGACACAUUGCUUUUGCAUCGAAA